This 393-nucleotide ribosomal RNA is filed under the name uncultured bacterium. RNAcentral describes it as "partial 16S ribosomal RNA". It matches the Rfam family "Bacterial small subunit ribosomal RNA", at positions 523 to 918 of the family's 1533-position model. The record is from RNAcentral.
AUACGGAGGAUCCGAGCGUUAUCCGGAUUUAUUGGGUUUAAAGGGUGCGCUGGCGGGAGAUUAAGUCGGCGGUGAAAUUUUGCAGCUCAACUGUAAAAGUGCCUUCGAAACUGGUUUCCUUGAGUGUAGAUGAAGUAGGCGGAAUUUGUGGUGUAGCGGUGAAAUGCAUAGAUAUCACGAGGAACUCCGAUUGCGCAGGCAGCUUACUAAACUACUACUGACGCUCAGGCACGAAGGCGUGGGGAUCAAACAGGAUUAGAUACCCUGGUAGUCCACGCAGUAAACGAUGAUUACUAGCUGUUUGCGAUACAAUGUAAGCGGCUGAGCGAAAGCGUUAAGUAAUCCACCUGGGGAGUACGUUCGCAAGAAUGAAACUCAAAUGAAUUGACGGGG